GAGCUGUGAAGAAAUUUUAAAGGAAUCUGAGAUUCUGCUGAAGUCAUAAGAUCCAACUCUGAGCUCGCUGCC
RNAcentral lists this small nucleolar RNA (72 nucleotides) under Numida meleagris (helmeted guineafowl). Its description in RNAcentral is "Small nucleolar RNA SNORD19 (ENSNMEG00000007937.1)". It matches the Rfam family "Small nucleolar RNA SNORD19". From Rfam's summary of the family: Homo sapiens C/D box snoRNA HBII-108: This snoRNA is the human orthologue of the mouse MBII-108 and is predicted to guide 2'O-ribose methylation of the small 18S rRNA on position G683. snoRNA HBII-108 is encoded in a nucleostemin (NS) gene intron like the HBII-210 Lineage: Eukaryota; Metazoa; Chordata; Aves; Galliformes; Numididae. The record is from RNAcentral.